Long non-coding RNA from Suricata suricatta (meerkat), 878 nucleotides. RefSeq lists it as uncharacterized. Lineage: Eukaryota; Metazoa; Chordata; Mammalia; Carnivora; Herpestidae. The transcript has 2 exons. The record is from RefSeq and is a predicted model, not a curated record.
ACUGCUCCAACUCGGAGAUGGACAUUGUGUUUAUUGGCAGCGAUUCCAAGUCCAAGGUCUUUUCAUCCCAAAUGACCAGUGUUUCAGUAGAGGACAGAGACAGAAGGGUUCAUGGAGUGGCUGCUCUCUGGUGAGUCAGAGACAGGCUUCCAGAACGUGUUCCUGGGUAGAGGCCCCAAACGUCCAACUCAAAGCUUCGCUCUGAAGCCGGGGCGGCUGCUGCCAGGGUUCCUGCCACACAGGGAGCCCCCAGGGUUGCUGUGCGGCCCGCAGCCUCCCCCCACUGGCCAGUGAACGCUCCUGCAGAAAGCUUUCCUUCCCUUUCCGCUCCCUGCUGGGCCCUCCUACGGGUGCCCUCUGCGGAGGCCUGUCGUCGUGCCGGAUUCCCAAGGGUCCUCUAACAUUUUCAGGAGGCUGCCCGUCUCUGGGGACAGAUACCCUUCCCACCCCACUGAUUGGGCAUGUGCUUGGGGGGUGUUUCAGACAAUGACGUAGGAGUGGGGGGGCCCUUCAGGAGCCAGCUUGGAGCCGCCCUGUGCUCUCCCCUCUGCUCUAGGGCCACAGUAUUCCAGAGAGAGGCUUCUCCAUCAGCCUGGAGGCUGGAGAGAUGCCAUCAGAGCUGACGUGGAUGGACAUACAGGAAGGUCGUGUUCGUGGACGCAGCAGCACGUCGCCUUUUCAGACUGGCCUCUUCUGCUUCAGCAAUGUGCGCUCCCGGCCCUUACGCGUCCGCGUUGGCUCCGGAGCCCCUUCUGUGCACCGCUGAGUGGGGUCCCAUGUCAGGACACCCCGCGGUUUGUUUACCCACUGCCUCCCGGGGGCGCAUUUUGGAUGCCUCCGGGUUGUGGCAAUCACUAAUAAAGCGAAUACAAACAUUC